GUAUUCCAGCAAACACAAGCGAGAUUAUCUAUGGUCCCUACUUGACUGUUCAAUUAUAAAUCAUUAUUAUAUU
Aricia agestis (brown argus) is the source of this 73-nucleotide long non-coding RNA. RefSeq lists it as uncharacterized. NCBI's taxonomy places the organism in Eukaryota, Metazoa, Arthropoda, Insecta, Lepidoptera, Lycaenidae. The transcript has 3 exons. The record is from RefSeq and is a predicted model, not a curated record.